AUUGAACGCUGGCGGCAUGCUUUACACAUGCAAGUCGAACGGUAACAGGUUAAGCUGACGAGUGGCGAACGGGUGAGUAAUGCAUCGGAACGUGCCCGGUCGUGGGGGAUAACGCAGCGAAAGCUGCGCUAAUACCGCAUACGAUCUAAGGAUGAAAGCGGGGGACCGUAAGGCCUCGCGCGAUCGGAGCGGCCGAUGUCAGAGUAGGUAGUUGGGUGGGUAAAGGCCCACCAAGCCAACGAUCUGUAGCUGGUCUGAGAGGACGACCAGCCACACUGGGACUGCGACACGGCCCAGACUCCUACGGGAGGCAGCAGUGUGGAAUGUUGGACAAUGGGCGAAAGCCUGAUCCAGCAAUGCCGCGUGCAGGAAGAAGGCCUUCGGGUUGUAAACUGCUUUUGUACGGAGCGAAAAGGUCUCCUCUAAUACAGGGGGCUCAUGACGGUACCGUAAGAAUAAGCACCGGCUAACUACGUGCCAGCCGCCGCCGUAA
This 493-nucleotide ribosomal RNA is filed under the name uncultured bacterium. RNAcentral describes it as "partial 16S ribosomal RNA". It matches the Rfam family "Bacterial small subunit ribosomal RNA", at positions 29 to 523 of the family's 1533-position model. The record is from RNAcentral.